This 246-nucleotide ribosomal RNA is filed under the name Hyalomma anatolicum. RNAcentral's name for it is "partial large subunit ribosomal RNA". The record is from RNAcentral. Lineage: Eukaryota; Metazoa; Arthropoda; Arachnida; Ixodida; Ixodidae.
AAUGCUAAAAGAAUGGAAAUUUAAAAAAAAACUUUUUUAAAAAUAAAAAUUGAAUUUUUUUUAAUUUGUGCAAAAACAAUUAUUAUUAUUAAAGACAAGAAGACCCUAAGAAUUUAUGAUUUUGCAAUUAGAAUUUUUUUCAAAAAAUCUUGAUUGGGGCGAUCAAAAAAUAUUAAUAACUUUUUAAAUUUAAAUUGAUCUAUUAUUAAUAAACUAAUGAAUUAAAUACUCUAGGGAUAACAGCGU